This 253-nucleotide ribosomal RNA is filed under the name uncultured bacterium. RNAcentral's name for it is "partial 16S ribosomal RNA". It matches the Rfam family "Bacterial small subunit ribosomal RNA", at positions 524 to 776 of the family's 1533-position model. The record is from RNAcentral.
CACGUAGGGUGCAAGCGUUGUCCGGAAUUAUUGGGCGUAAAGGGCUCGUAGGCGGUCCGUCACGUCGGGAGUGAAAACUCGGGGCUCAACCCCGAGCCUGCUUUCGAUACUGUCGGACUAGAGGUAGGUAGGGGAGAGCGGAAUUCCUGGUGUAGCGGUGAAAUGCGCAGAUAUCAGGAGGAACACCGGUGGCGAAGGCGGUUCUCUGGGCCUUACCUGACGCUGAGGAGCGAAAGCGUGGGGAGCGAACAGG